CCAGUAUCCAAAAUGGUUGUUACAAAAGCGUCAUAACUAUAAUGAUGUGCAAUAAAAUGUCUUAAUUACUUAAAAUAUCGUUCGGUCACAGAGAUUGUCCGACCCAUUAAGUGAAAUUGUCAGUCCGACGUAGAGAGGAAACUACCGGACAUUCUGUCAGACCUAAGUGAAACUGAGGUUUGUUGUUUGUCCGACCCGAGUGUAUUGGUGUCCGACAACUCUGUUG
Molecule: non-coding RNA, 226 nt
Organism: Paramuricea clavata
Lineage: Eukaryota; Metazoa; Cnidaria; Anthozoa; Malacalcyonacea; Plexauridae
Source: the annotation of a GenBank genome assembly